CAGCAGUCGCCGCGGUAAUACAGAGGGUGCGAGCGUUAAUCGGAUUUACUGGGCGUAAAGCGUGCGUAGGUGGUGGUUUAAGUCCGUUGUGAAAGCCCUGGGCUCAACCUGGGAAUUGCAGUGGAUACUGGGUCACUAGAGUGUGGUAGAGGAUAGUGGAAUUUCCGGUGUAGCAGUGAAAUGCGUAGAGAUCGGAAGGAACAUCUGUGGCGAAGGCGACUAUCUGGGCCAACACUGACACUGAGGCACGAAAGCGUGGGGAGCAAACAGGAUUAGAUACCCCCGUAGUCCCUGUCUCUUAUAC
This 304-nucleotide ribosomal RNA is filed under the name uncultured bacterium. RNAcentral's name for it is "partial 16S ribosomal RNA". It matches the Rfam family "Bacterial small subunit ribosomal RNA", at positions 509 to 807 of the family's 1533-position model. The record is from RNAcentral.